GGCAAAGUGAGAUGUUCUUGGCAUAGACUGAGACAGACAACUACAAUUAGUGUAGACCUGGAAACUUUAUUGAGAGAGAGUUGAAGAAGAUAUUACAAAAUUUCCAUGGUGAAUGGAGGGCAAAUACCUGAACUAAAAUUUUCAAAAAAAAUCAAUCAUCUUAUUUUCUUGCCCAGGAGAUUCAGAAUAACAGUCUCUAGUCCAAUUACAUCAGUCUUUAGUCCAAGUUUAAUCACACAAGUAGAAGGAUCAGCAACGGCAACAGAAGAACAGCGACAGAUACGACAGAACAACAACCACAGAUACCGCU
This 310-nucleotide long non-coding RNA is filed under the name Androctonus crassicauda. Lineage: Eukaryota; Metazoa; Arthropoda; Arachnida; Scorpiones; Buthidae. The record is from RNAcentral.